CUAGCGUUGUUCGGAAUUACUGGGCGUAAAGCGCGCGUAGGCGGCUUUGCAAGUCAGAGGUGAAAGCCUGGAGCUCAACUCCAGAACUGCCUUUGAAACUGCAUCGCUAGAAUCAUGGAGAGGUUAGUGGAAUUCCGAGUGUAGAGGUGAAAUUCGUAGAUAUUCGGAAGAACACCAGUGGCGAAGGCGACUAACUGGACAUGUAUUGACGCUGAGGUGCGAAAGCGUGGGGAGCAAACAGG
This 242-nucleotide ribosomal RNA is filed under the name uncultured bacterium. Its description in RNAcentral is "partial 16S ribosomal RNA". It matches the Rfam family "Bacterial small subunit ribosomal RNA", at positions 535 to 776 of the family's 1533-position model. The record is from RNAcentral.